Sinocyclocheilus grahami is the source of this 393-nucleotide long non-coding RNA. RefSeq lists it as uncharacterized. The record is from RefSeq and is a predicted model, not a curated record. NCBI's taxonomy places the organism in Eukaryota, Metazoa, Chordata, Actinopteri, Cypriniformes, Cyprinidae. The transcript is spliced from 4 exons.
GUUUUUUAUUAUGUGUGUGUGUUUGUGUAGUACACUGCAUGAUGUAACUUGUGUUGAUCACUCUUUCAAACAGUGAAAACGGUCCUUUAGGAUAUAUUUAAACUUUCUUACUGUGCUGCAGCUUCCAGAACCUCCUGGCAAGAUGGUGAAGAUGUAGACAGAAAGACCAGAACAAGUUGGAUGAACCUGAAGAGUGAGAUGGAUGGACAGUCUCCAGAUCUGGACCCCAGGACCUCCACCCACAGCUUACCCACCGAUAUGUCUCAACCCAACUUCCCAUAUAAUAAGUCUGCUUCGCUGCCAGGAUAUGGGCGGAACGGAAUAUACAAGGCGGCUGAUCUUGGCGAGGAUGAUGGCGAUCAUGACUCAUCCUGGAGUGGAAUGAGAGGUGAG